CGGAGGGAGCAGCAUAAUGCAUAUUUUCUUUGAUUAACCUCAAAGGUCUAUGGUCCUAUUCUGGGCUUGACGGUAAAAGUGAGCAACCCAUAAUUUUUGAGGGCAAAAUUGACAUUUCCACUUCAAACCAGCACUACUAUAAAACCCAAAAAACUAGGGUUUUUACCCAACAAAAUCUCAUUAGUUUAAGAAUGAGGCAGGAAGAGGCAGUGGGAGUUUCCCGAGGACCGUUUUGCCCCUCUUCCUUGAUCACCACCGUAUACGGCGGUCAUCUUUAGCCGGUGAUUUCUCCGACCCUCAUUAAAACGGCCCUCUGAGAAAUCGAAGAGCUUAAUUUCCACAAUUUCGUUCUCUUUCUCUAACCAUUUCUUUUUCUUUUUCUUUUUUUUUGGCUGCUCUGAAUCUCUGAACUUGGCUCUGUUUUUCAUCAUUCACCAUAUCCAACCCCAACAACAGUACUACGUACAUAUAUAUAUAUAUACAUACAUACAUAAUCAAAUUAAUUAAUUAUUGAGGCAGUGAUGAGUCAAUUCAAAGUAAUCGAUUGUUUGGUUUCUGGAAUGUUCUUCGAUUUGGGAUAAAUUUUGAUCAAUUGGCUUGGCAGCAAUCGAAAUUCUGUUGGUGUUGUUGUUGUUGUUUCUGUUGCUGUUGCUAAAACCCUAAUUUUGUUGGGGUCGUUUGGUUUGUGGGAUUUGUGGGUUUAUUGAUUUGAUUGAGUUGCCGCCAUGGUUGAGAUUUUCCCACUUCGAGAAUGUGCCGCCAAGCUGUUCGAUGAAAUGCAGAUCUGAGCCUCCUCUUUACCCACCCACCCAAAUAAACCCCAGAUACAGGGGAUUGAGCUACGGUAAUAAGUAAGUGUGGUAUGAUUUUUUCAUUUUAUUUGGUUUAUUAUCUGUAAUGAGAUUGUUGAUGUAAAUGCAUGAAAGUAUUGUUUGCAUGUAAUUCUUUCUUAAAUUUAGUUGAAGUAUGAAUUUUCUCUUUGCUCAGUUAUUAAGAAAUUUUGUAAGUAAUGUUGAUGUUUUAAGGUUUUAUUUUUAGAAAAUUUGUGUGAUGUGAUGAUGUAAAUUCAUGAUUGCAUGCAAGUAUAAGUGUUUUUUUCUGCAUUUGUAGUAUUAUAAUUUAUCUACUUGUGCAAUUAUUCAGCUGCGUAAACAAUGUUGAUGUUUCAAGUUGUUUUUUUUUUUUUUUUUUUGGUAAAAAAAAAAAAAUUGUUGUUUUAUUGUGUGUAAUAAGAUUAUUAAGGUAAAUGCAUGAAAAGUAUAGUUUGCAUGUGAUUUUUUCUGCAUAUAUAUUCAUGUGUAAUCUGUCUUUCGUUCAAUUAUUGUGAAGUGGGUAAACAAAGUUGAUGUUUUUAAGUUGUUGGUUUGUUCUAUUGUUGAUUUAUUAUGUGUAGUUAGAUAAUUGAUGAAAAUUAAUGAAAGUAUUGUUUGCAUGCAACUUUUUCUAUAUCUAUAUCCAAGUUGAUUUUUCUUUUUGUUCAAUUAUUAUGAUAUUUUGUAAUCUUAAUGUUUUAAGUUGGGCAAUUUUAGUGUGAAAAGUUGAGAUUCAAGGGUUAUAUAAACCAUAGCCUGCAACGCAUUGACAACCAAAUUUGAUUCAAUUAUCAAAGUUGAAUUCUUUGAGUAUUUAUGCUCAAUAGUUCAAUAAUCCACCCUGAAAGAACCCUACAUUGACUAUACUGACAAUUAAAUUCAUGAUUAACCUUAGAUUGUGAAAUUGAUAUUCCAUAAUUGAAAAAAAGAAUCUUACCUCAGAAGCUGCUUCAAUUGAGGAUAGAAAGCUCAAAAGCUGCUUCAAUGGAGAACUAAGAGUGCGCUUCAAUGGAUAAUUCAGUCCAUGAUGUUAUAAAUGUCAGGACAAAACCAUGAAAAUGGACCUUUUCCUUGGCAGUAAUCCCUCCUGCCCUUGUUUCAGGGAUAGUCCUGUGGUUUACCUAAAAAUGAGGCAGGGAGAGGCUAUGGGAGUUUCCAAAGGACUGUUUUGCCCCUCUCCCUAGACGAUGACCGUCAAUGGAGGUCGUCUUUAGCCAGUGAUUUCUCCAACUACCAUCAAAACAGUCUUCAUAUUGUAGGGGUUACUUGGUUAGUGUUAAAGGUGUUACUUUGUUAGUGUUAAAAGGGGUUACUUUGCUCUACAAGUGGCCAUAGUUAUAUGGUGUCACCAUCUGCACUCAAAACACUGUUUGAUUAAUUUGCUGCCAUGGCUGUAAGUAGUUUAAGAAUGAGGCAGGAAGAGGCAUUGGGAGUUUCCUGAGGACCGUUUUGCCACUCUUCCUUGAUAACCACCAUCUACAGUGGUCAUCUUUAGCCGGUGAUUUCUCAGACCAAUAUUAAAACGGCUUUAUGAGAAAUUGAAGAGCUUAAUUUCCACAAUUUUGCUCUCUUUCUCUCACCUUUUUUCUUCUUUGGCUGCUUUGGAUCUUUAAACUUUGGUUCUAUUCUUCGCCGUUUACCAUAUUAACCCAAAAAAGUAUUAUGGGCUUGUUUUGAUUUUCUGAAAACAAGUGAAUUGAAUAGAGCUGAAAUGAAUUGUUUAUGAGAGAAGGAAAUUGGGAACUGAUUUGAAUUGAUUGGAGCUAAACUGAAUUGAACUGAAUUGAGCUGAACAGAACUAGGCCUUACGUACAUAUAAAAAUACAUAAAUAAUCGAAUUAUUAAUUAUCGAGGCUGUGAUGAAUCUAUCCAAAGUAAUUGAUUGUUUGGUUUUUGGAAUGUUCUUCGAUUUGGGGUAAAUUUUGAUCAUUUGGCUUGGCAGCAAUCAAAAUUGUGUUGUUAUUGUUGGAACCCUAAUAUUGUUGGGGUCGUUUGGUUUGUGGGGUUUGUUGAUUUGAUUGAGUUGCCGCCAUGGUUGAGAUUUUCCCACUUCAAGAAUGUGCCACCAAGCUGUUCGAUGAAAUGCAGAUCUGAGCCUCCUCUUCACCCACACACCAAACAAUCCCCAGAUAUAGAGGAUUGAUACUACUGUCAUAAGUAAGUAUGGUAUGAUUUUUUUUACAAAAAUUUAUUUAUUUAUUAUGUGUUAUGAAUUGCUGAUGUAAAAGCAUGAAAGUAUUGUUUGCAUGUAGUUCUUUCUUACAUCUAUGUUGAAGUAUGAUUUAUUUCUUUGCUCAAUAAUUAUGCAAAUGUGUUUGAGUAAUGUUGAUGUUUCAAGUUGUUUCUUUGUAAUUGUAUUCGAUGAAAUAAUUAAUGUAAAUGCAUGAUUGAAUGAAGAUUUAUUUACUUAUUUUGAUAGAGAUUGCAUGAAGGUAUUAUUUGCAUGUAAUUUUUACUACACUUUAAUUGAAGGAGUAUACUUUAUCUACUUGUGCAAUUAUUAUGAAAUUCUGUAAACAGUGCUGAUUUUCAAGUGUUAGGCUAUUUUUAUAUAUUUAUUUAUUGUUUUUUUUAAUAUUUUUUUUAUUGUUGUUUUAUUGUAUGUAUGAGAUCAUUAAGGUAAAUGCUUGAAACGUAUAAUUUGCAUGUGAUUUAAGCUGUUGGUUUGUUUCUUUGUUGAAUAAUUGUUUGUAGUGAGAAUGUGAGAUAGUUGGUGUAGAACAAGUUGCAUGUGAUUUGAAUGAAGGUAUUAUUUACAUGCAACUUGUUCUACAUCUUAUUCAACUUAAUUUACAUUUUUGUUCAAUUAUUAUGAAAUUGUGUGAUCAAUGUUAAUAGUUUAAGUUGAGCCAUUUUUAUUGUGAAAAGUUAACAUUCAAGGGUUAUAUAAACCUAAGUUUGCAUCGCAUUGGCAACCAAAUUGACUCAGUUACCAUCAAAGUUAAAAUUUUCUAGUAUAUAUGCUGAAUAGUUAAAUAAACAACCUUGGAAGAACCCUAAAUUGACUAAUCCUGAAAAUUAAAUUUACUAUCAACCCUAGAUUGUGAAAUUGAUAUUUGAUUAUUUUAAAAAAACCUUACGUUAGAAGCUGCUUCAAUGAAGGAGAGAAAGCUAAGAAGCCGCUUCAAUGGAGAACUAAGAGUACACUUCAAUGGAUAAUUCAGUCCAUGAUGUUUUAAUUGUCAUGACAAAACCAUGAAAAUGGACCUUUCUCCCUGGGCCCAAGGCAGCGACGCUCAUGCCCUUGCUCAGAGAUAGUCCUGUGGUUUAUCAAAAAUGAGGCAGGGAGAGGCCAUGGGAGUUUCUCGAGGACCAUUUUGCCCUUCUCCCUAGAUGACUACCAUCAUUGGAGGUCAUCUUUAGCCAGUGAUUUCUCCAACUACCAUAAAAUGGUCCUCACAUCGUAGCUUACUGGACCCUUAACUGUGUGUGUCUCUGUGGGUUGACUUUGUAACUCUCUUAUCGGCAUGCAUCUCUAUCUUCUUACCCUAAAAACAAUCAUCAACCAGUAGAGGCUGUGAUGAGAGUAAACGGUAUUAAGUAGUCAAAUCAAAUUUGGGUUUGGAAAAAUUUUGAGGGUUUUGGGUGGUUAUUCUAUUUGGCUUGGCAGAAAAAUCAAAUGGUGGUAAAUGGGUAUUAUUUUAUUUUUAUUUUUAUUUUUAUUUUGUGGGUUUUUGUUCGGUUGGAAAUUAUUUGAGCCCAAUUUGAUUAAUUUGCUGCCAUGGUUGAUUUUCCCACCUCUUAAUGUUCCACCCAAUUUUUUGAUGAAAUGUGGAACUGAGCCACUUGGAAGAAAAGAAAGAAAGAAAGAAAACAAGAUUUGGAACUUGGAAGCUCCAUUGUUGGAAUGGAUCUUUGUUCAACAAUAUCAUUAGGUUAAGAGUGAGGCAGGGAGAGGCAUUGGGAGUUUUCUGAUGACCGUUUUGCCCCUCUUCCAUGACAACUUCCCCCUGUGAUGUUCAUCUUUAGCCGGUGAUUUCUCCGACCACUGUGAAAACGAUCCUCUGCGAAAUUUAAGAGACUAACUUCAAAGUUUUGCUCUCUUUCUCUCUUUUAUCUGGCACCUCUGAAUCUCUGAUCAUUUGGCUCUGUUGUUCACCUUAUUCACCCCCAACGUACUCCAUAGUCCAGACAUAUAUACUUCGUAUAUCAAUAUAUGUAUGUACAUGCAUAAACAAAUAAAUAAAUAAAUAAAUAAAUGAGGCUGUGAUGUGUCCUGAAGUAAUCGAUUGUUUGGCUUUGGAAUGUUUAAGGUGCGGGGUAAGUUUUAACCAUUUGGCUUGGCAGCAAUUAAAUUGCACUGCUGGAACCCUAUGGUCCUAUUCUUUUGGACUUGUUUUUAGUUCAGAUCAGUUGAGAGUGAGCUCAGGUGGUUAGAGCUUUUCUCCCGAUUCAAGGGGAUCUUUGGACCAAUUCUCCAUCACCCGCCCUUGUGGCUCUCGAAACAAAGAAAAAAAAAAAUACAACUUUCAGUUCAGUUCAGUACAGUACUUCAGUUCAGCUUAAAAGAUACAGGGCCUAAUUGUUAUUGGUGUUUGGUUUCUGUGGAAUUGAUUGAAUUGCCGCCAUGGUUGAAAAUUUCCCACCUCGAAUGUCCUGCCAAAUUGUUCGAUGAAAUUAAGAUCUGAGCCUCCAGUUUACCCACUCACCGCCAAAGAAAUCCCAAAACCAGAGGAUGGAUGCUACGGUAACUAUAAUGGUUUUUUUUGGUUAUAUGUAAUGAGAUUAUUUAGGUAAAUGCAUGAAAUUAUUAUUUGCAUGCAAUUUUUUAACGUUUACAUGAGGAAUGGUUUUGUAUUCUUGAAUUUGAGGUUUUUGGGUGUUCUAUAUGUUCUAUAUAUAUAUAUAUAUAACUUUUUUUAAGACUGGUUAAUGUUUGGUUCAUUUGUAACCUUUUAUUUUGGUGCUUUUGUUCAACACAACAAAUUAACUUUUUAGCUCUAUUGAAUAGAUACAGGGUUCUGUUACAUGUAGUUGUUUCACAACGUAUACAAUGUAUUGCAGGGUUAUAAGAUACCAUUAUAGUUUAUUAGUAUUCGUUAAUAAGCAAAUAUAGAGUUUAUCAGUAUUUUUAUUAUCCAUCAAUCUUGCUGAACUGUAUGCUCAUAAAGGCGGAAACUGGUGUAGGAUUUAGAGGAGAAGCAGUGGUAUUAAUGUUGAAACAUUGGUUGAACAAGUGAGGAAGGGAUCUAGUGACUAGUGUAAUUGAAUGCUGAACAAGGUAUCUUUCUGCGACGUGUUGGAUGAGGGAAAGGGUCUAUUGUUAUUGAUUGCCAUUUCAGUUCACUCUGUAGAUAUUCUUCCUUGAUUCCUCAUCAGUGUGGAUAUAGUCAAUAUCAAUGCUUGUUACAUAGAUGACUAUCCAAUAUGAUAUGUGCAGUAAUUGCUUGCUGAGGUAUUUCAUUCAUUGCUUCAGAUUGAUAUUUGGAAAGGUUUUAUAGGGAGGGUUGUCUGCUCACUUGAGAGUCCAGUAUUUCAUUAAUAACACCCCCCCCCCCCAGUCUUGGUUUAUUUAUUUAAUCCAGAGUGUCUAAGUCUAGUUUGUUGUUAUUUGAAGGAAUUGCUUCGUUUGCUUAAGUUAUUGUGAUAUCUAAUGCGGUAUUCAUUCAUUGCUUAUGAUCGAAUUUUGGAAACCUUGUUGGUGUUUUAUAGGGAGGGUUGUCUGCUCAGUCUGUCCUUGGUGUAUUCAUUUAAUCCUGAGUGUUUAAAGUCUAGUUGGCUGAUAUUUGAAGUGAUUGCUUCUGUUUGCUUAAUCUAAUGUGAGAUCUCUUGAUAUUAACAUCAUGUUUUUGCAUAUCAUUGAAUGUUUAAUAACUUGCUGUUCUGUAUAGUACCUGUUUAUGUUUUUCAGGCUAUGAACAUUAGAUUGAGAUGAACACUUGAAUGGUCCUUGAAGCAAAGGAAGUUGCAAUUUGGUUGUUUUGGAUAGCUUUAGAAGCUUGAUGCUGGUCAAGACAUCAAGUGGUCAUGAAAGAAUUCUGCCAUUUCCUGUUAUGGUUUUCAACUGGGCGUGGAAACUUCAGACGAGCUCAAGUGAACAAUCCCUCAGUUGCAUGCUCAGAAAGUUACAGUUGGUUGUUGCACUAUCAUAACAUGAAAGAAUCACCUUGCAAUGGGAAACUUUCCCGGGGAUCACAUCGGACUAGAGCGAGGCCUUUCACCAGCCAUAGCUUAAUUAUACCGAUAUUUGUGGGAUAGUCAAAUUUACAGAGAGGUGACCUUAAAAUAGUUGUCCUUAAUUUGUCGUGGCCUCGUGGGCACCCUUGGGCAUGACCUCUACUGCCUUAGCAACCUCAGAGUUGUGCAGUACGGAGGGCAUUUUUUUUUUUUUUAUUGAAAUAAUGUUCAAGAUGGUGAUAUUAUUUAUGUUCAUUUUUGUACAGCAUGAAUGGAUAACUUUGAUCAUCAAGGGUAUUGUAUAUUGUUUCAUUUUAAAUUUGUUAUACUACUGUAUUACACAUUCUUAUAAUGUAGCUACCGCUUUUUUA
Chenopodium quinoa (quinoa) is the source of this 7300-nucleotide long non-coding RNA. RefSeq lists it as uncharacterized. The record is from RefSeq and is a predicted model, not a curated record. The transcript is spliced from 2 exons. NCBI's taxonomy places the organism in Eukaryota, Viridiplantae, Streptophyta, Magnoliopsida, Caryophyllales, Amaranthaceae.